AUGUCAAGUAUGAGAAGCUGCCAGAACUUCUGUUUUUGCUGCGGAGUGGUGGGACACACGAUAGAGAAGUUCUGCAGCAUGCCCAAAGAGCUGCGGAAGGCGUCCUACUCCACCGACAUAAGGGCGCCUCCAUAUUGGGCCUCUGCUCAUAGAAAAAUCGAUUUUGGGAAGAAGCUGGUGAAGGACAAGGUGAUCACGGAGGUGGCCUCGGCGGUCAAAAGACUAUACUUGUCUGCUGCUGCAGAUACGACUACGGCGUCAGCUUCGGUGGACGGUUCUGCUCCGGUUGCCACUGACGCACCAAACGCGUUGGAGCAGCUUGUGCUCGUUGGCGGGGGUACCAACAACUCCAGCAAUGGGCCCCCUGUUCAGUUUGCUACUGGAGGCCUGGAGGCGUCCAAUGACAUGGCUGGAGCACUCCUCAACACCAACUCAGGAGCUCCGGCUGGUCAAAUGAGUGAGCUGAUGGAUAAGGGACCUAGGGAGCACCUCCACUCUAUCCUCGGUGCUCCUGGGUCUCCUACUGCUGCUGCUAUGGCGUCUAUGCAGAAGUAG
This 555-nucleotide ribosomal RNA is filed under the name Triticum aestivum (bread wheat). RNAcentral describes it as "partial small subunit ribosomal RNA". The record is from RNAcentral. Lineage: Eukaryota; Viridiplantae; Streptophyta; Magnoliopsida; Poales; Poaceae.